GUGCCAGCAGCCGCGGUAAUACGUAGGUGGCAAGCGUUAUCCGGAAUUAUUGGGCGUAAAGCGCGCGUAGGCGGUUUUUUAAGUCUGAUGUGAAAGCCCACGGCUCAACCGUGGAGGGUCAUUGGAAACUGGAAUACUUGAGUGCAGAAGAGGAAAGUGGAAUUCCAUGUGUAGCGGUGAAAUGCGCAGAGAUAUGGAGGAACACCAGUGGCGAAGGCGACUUUCUGGUCUGUAACUGACGCUGAUGUGCGAAAGCGUGGGGAUCAAAC
This 269-nucleotide ribosomal RNA is filed under the name uncultured Staphylococcus sp. RNAcentral's name for it is "partial 16S ribosomal RNA". It matches the Rfam family "Bacterial small subunit ribosomal RNA", at positions 505 to 773 of the family's 1533-position model. The record is from RNAcentral. Lineage: Bacteria; Bacillati; Bacillota; Bacilli; Caryophanales; Staphylococcaceae.